RNAcentral lists this ribosomal RNA (182 nucleotides) under Escherichia coli. RNAcentral's name for it is "partial 16S ribosomal RNA". It matches the Rfam family "Bacterial small subunit ribosomal RNA", at positions 1 to 176 of the family's 1533-position model. The record is from RNAcentral. Lineage: Bacteria; Pseudomonadati; Pseudomonadota; Gammaproteobacteria; Enterobacterales; Enterobacteriaceae.
AAAUUGAAGAGUUUGAUCAUGGCUCAGAUUGAACGCUGGCGGCAGGCCUAACACAUGCAAGUCGAACGGUAACAGGAAACAGCUUGCUGAUUUGCUGACGAGUGGCGGACGGGUGAGUAAUGUCUGGGAAACUGCCUGAUGGAGGGGGAUAACUACUGGAAACGGUAGCUAAUACCGCAUAA